AGUGAACGCUGGCGGUAGGCCUAACACAUGCAAGUCGAACGGCAGCACAGAGGAGCUUGCUCCUUGGGUGGCGAGUGGCGGACGGGUGAGGAAUACAUCGGAAUCUACUCUGUCGUGGGGGAUAACGUAGGGAAACUUACGCUAAUACCGCAUACGACCUACGGGUGAAAGCAGGGGAACUGCGGGCCUUGCGCGAUUGAAUGAGCCGAUGUCGGAGUAGCUAGUUGGCGGGGUAAAGGCCCACCAAGGCGACGAUCCGUAGCUGGUCUGAGAGGAUGAUCAGCCACACUGGAACUGAGACACGGUCCAGACUCCUACGGGAGGCAGCAGUGGGGAAUAUUGGACAAUGGGCGCAAGCCUGAUCCAGCCAUACCGCGUGGGUGAAGAAGGCCUUCGGGUUGUAAAGCCCUUUUGUUGGGAAAGAAAUCCAGCUGGCUAAUACCCGGUUGGGAUGACGGUACCCAAAGAAUAAGCACCGGCCAACUUCGUGCCAGCCGCCGCCGUAA
Molecule: ribosomal RNA, 506 nt
Filed under: uncultured bacterium
Lineage: Bacteria
Description: partial 16S ribosomal RNA
Rfam family: Bacterial small subunit ribosomal RNA
Source: RNAcentral